This 126-nucleotide small RNA is filed under the name Marmota monax (woodchuck). The record is from RNAcentral. Lineage: Eukaryota; Metazoa; Chordata; Mammalia; Rodentia; Sciuridae.
GCUAGGUGUGGUGGUGCACACCUGUAAUCCCAGUGGCUCAAGAGGCUGAGGCAGGAGGAUCACGAAUUCAAAGCCAGCCUCAGCAAAAAGUGAGGCACUAAGCAACUCAAUGAGACCCUAUCUCUA